GAAAUGCGAUAAGUAAUGUGAAUUGCAGAAUUCAGUGAAUCAUCGAAUCUUUGAACGCACAUUGCGCCCCCUGGUAUUCCGGGGGGCAUGCCUGUUCGAGCGUCAUUUCACCACUCAAGCCUCGCUUGGUAUUGGGCGACGCGGUUCGCCGCGCGCCUCAAAUCGACCGGCUGGGUCUUCCGUCCCCUCAGCGUUGUGGAAACUAUUCGCUAAAGGGUGCCGCGGGAGGUCACGCCGCAAAACAACCCCAUUUCUAAGGUUGACCUCGGAUCAGGUAGGGAUACCCGCUGAACUUAAGC
Molecule: unclassified non-coding RNA, 299 nt
Filed under: plant metagenome
Description: partial contains 5.8S ribosomal RNA, internal transcribed spacer 2, and large subunit ribosomal RNA
Rfam family: 5.8S ribosomal RNA (bases 1-105)
Source: RNAcentral